AAAUCUGCUGCUGCUCAAAUGUAUGAAAAGUUGCUCGUGGACGCGCCCUUUUUCAUUGUCCGAGAGUGUGUGUGCGUGCGCGCGCGUGUGGAAAAAGUACAGCAGUACUCGUGACACUACUUACACUGGUCACAGCUACAGUAACGGCUGCAGUUAGCUAGCAUAUUCCAACUUAUUAUUUAGAACACGAAUGUUAUAGCUUAAUUUUAAUGAUUGUAUUAUUAUCGUUACCUUUCUUGUUGUUCAUUCAGUCUGUUUCCUGACUUGUUGAGCCGCACACUCCCUGAGGGGGAAAAGAAAACUAGUUUUUUAUGAGUCGGUGUGUGUUGCUUUUGUGUGUGUGUGUGUGUACGUACUAUAGGGACCAUUACUGCAACAGUAACUGAUUUAAUUGGAGAAAACUAUGCACCUGCAAACUCAAAAAGGUAGAAUACACAUGAGUUACUGUAUUAAAACAUAAAACUUCAUUAAACAGCUCCCCUCAGACACUUUUUCAUUAGCAUGUAGUGAAGUAUUCUGCUGCUGCUGCUGCUUCACUGCUCUCUUCCUGUAUUUUCUUUUUUUCCUAUAGUCCUUCUACAGAAAGGAAGACCCAGAAUGUUGCAUCGAUGUCACUGUAAAAUAGAGAGCUGCUGUUUAAAACUCAAAGAGUAGUUUUAGAGCAGGUAUCGUCAGAGUUAGCGUUGGUCGUACAUUUAAAAUGAAAACCUUUCUGUGUUACGGAUUGUACAUUUCAAUUUUGAUUUUGUGUACAUAUUUUAUCAAUUGCAGUACAUAUUUUGUAACUCUCUAGUCCAGGGGUGGCCAACCAGUCAGAGGCUAAGAACCAGUUAUACAGUGCCCUUUGGAAAUUCUUGGUCGAUGUUAGCAUGGAGAUUUGAAGCCCUGAAAUGUGCUAAUGAUGCCUGACAUAUAAGGCAGAAUGGUGUUAGAUUUCAGUGGUUUUCACAUUUGGUUGGGUCUGCAGCAGGAAGAUGCUAAGACACCAAAAGGCUUUCCCGAGCACAGUCACAGCCCCACACAUUCAAAGAGAAUUUCCACAAAUUCUUUUCAUACUAAUGAAAAUUAGUACUAAAAUAAAUAAUAAUAUGAUUGGCCACAAGAGGCCUAGCCUCUCUCUUCCAUUGGCCUACAAGAUUUAAGCAAACACCCGGGAAGUCAAAAACCACCACCACCCCACAGGUAUAUAAGCGUAAACAACUAAUGAUACUUUAGAAAUUAUUCUUGAGAAUUAAUUCUUAGGAAGUUUUAGUUCUUGGAUUUGCGUAUUAACAACUGUUGUACGAGAUUUCCUUGAAUACUUCUCCAGUCGUUUAUUUUGCUUUAUUGUUGGACCUGUUUUGUUUGACGUUUUGCUAUUAAAACGUAUCGACCACCUACCGGCUGCUUCCAUUCCUUGCCUGAAGACACCUGGCACAGCAAGACUCUUUUGACUGGUGUUGUGAUCCGGAUCAAAAUAUAGCAAGAAUCUUUCAAUGGCUUGCCAUUACAUUCAACAAAAAAACUCUCCCACUGUUAAAAACAUCCAGUCUUCAUCUAAAUUUUUAUUUAUUUAUUUUUUGUAAUUUGAUGUGAAUGUAAGCGCAGCAUGAAACCAGGCAACUCCAAGUCCAACUUUUUUCUUUUAACCUUUAGCUCUUCUAUUAGCUGCCUUGUAUUUUACUAAUUCUAAUUUUACUCAGCCUACUUAAACGUUUCUUUAUUUUCACCUAACUUUGGUUUAUAUGGGGGGGGGGAAAUAUUUUUCUAUCUUCUUUGCAGCAAUCCAUUAGUAAUUCUCUUGUUGUGUCAUCCAUGGAAAUGUGUUAGUUUGUGGUUCAGUUAUAAAUUUCCAUGUGAAAGCAAUUUUACUUUUUCUGUUCCUCUAAUGUCAUUGUUGAAAAACAAACGUGUCGGAGACCUUUGUCCCCUCACGUCAGCUGGUGGAGCGGCUAAAAGAUGACAUGGCAUUAGAUCAGCUGGAGUCGCAGCUGGAAAUGUGACACGGACACGUUAGAUCAGCCAUUGGGGAGAGAUAUGUUUCUACGUUAAAGGAAGCAGACGGUGGUUCCUUAUUGGAUGUGCUGGAAAUCGACUGUAGCUGCAGGUUGAAGGACAAGCAGUAUUUUUCUGUCAAGAAUUAUUGGACGAUUCUCUAACUUCAAACUCCUCCUGUGAAACCA
Cynoglossus semilaevis (tongue sole) is the source of this 2162-nucleotide long non-coding RNA. RefSeq lists it as uncharacterized. The record is from RefSeq and is a predicted model, not a curated record. The transcript has 2 exons. Lineage: Eukaryota; Metazoa; Chordata; Actinopteri; Pleuronectiformes; Cynoglossidae.